AAUAGGAAAACCCUUUCUAGGAGGCAUUCAGGGAAGCAAUUUUUCACCCCUUGUUGGGUAACUAUCUUAAAAUGACUCCACUUAAGAUAACCAACCUAAUGUAUAUACAUAUGUA
This is a long non-coding RNA of Rhagoletis zephyria (snowberry fruit fly), 115 nucleotides long. RefSeq lists it as uncharacterized. The record is from RefSeq and is a predicted model, not a curated record. NCBI's taxonomy places the organism in Eukaryota, Metazoa, Arthropoda, Insecta, Diptera, Tephritidae.